This is a long non-coding RNA of Canis lupus familiaris (dog), 1343 nucleotides long. RefSeq lists it as uncharacterized. The transcript has 3 exons. NCBI's taxonomy places the organism in Eukaryota, Metazoa, Chordata, Mammalia, Carnivora, Canidae. The record is from RefSeq and is a predicted model, not a curated record.
UUCCAAUACACCAGAAAAGCAUAUGGGAAGAGGGAUUUAAAACCAGCAAACAACCACUCAGUGAGAAGACAGAUUAACUCAUUUUAGACAUACCAACUCUCAGAAAGAUUUACCACCCACACAUCUUUUCUUAAUAAAUUGCUAGAAGAUACACAGCAUAAUAAAGGAGUAAAUCAAAAGAGAGAAAAAGACAGGAUUUAGGAAAUAGUGAAUCCUUGCCAAAAGUCUCGUAAACAAAAGUCCCAGAGCCAGUGUGAUAUAUAGAAUAAUUAAAAUGUUCUUGAUUACCAUUAUCAUUAAUCACCAUCAUUAGUACAUAAUAGCAAACAUUUAUUGUCCAUUACUGCAUCCAAGACACUGUUUUACAUGUUAGCUCAUUAAAUAUGCACACAUUCCUAUAAAGUAAAUACCACUGAGGGUAUGAAGCUAGCCUUCCCCGCCCACCCCCCAGAAAAAACAACUAACAAAUGGGGGCGAUACAUUGCCAACCUAGGCAGUCUGAUGCCAGAAACCACACUCUUACCAGCUAAGUUCCAUGAUGCCCUCAUCUACAUCAUCCAGCAGCUGGCAUGUUAUUUAGAUUCAUCAAAAGUCACCUAGGAUAAGGAAAAUAAGGCAAAAGGAAGUUAAAAGAGCUACCCAAGUUAUACAACUGGUUUCCCAGCAUUGUCCAGUUGAAACCAGUGAUCUCGAAGAAACAACAACAGAUUGCCUCUCAAGCCUUUCUUCAAACAAAAUCUUUAGAGAAACCAAAUACAAAGAUGUCAGAGUUUCAUGGAAGAGAAAAGGGCUUUAGUAGACUUUUCACCCCUUUGCCUGGUACCUAUGCCACCUGGAGCUGUUUCUGCACCUCCAACAACCUCCAGGACUUCAGAGCACAGGUCAAGAGAAAGCAACUCUCACUUCUCUCAGAGGUGGCCUGCUUAUCUUUAUCUUUUUUCAUGCAUGUGAGAGAGAUUUUGUCUUAGAUAUACCAAUACCUUUUAGCUUCCAUGUUCUAACAGGGCCAAUGAUAGCACUGCAGUAAGAAUGUCAUCUGCCUACACUCAGGCUCCAUUGCUUGAAGCAACUUCUGUUUUGGAUUUUGUAUUUCAGCCUUGCAUAUGACUGAGCUGUAAGAGCACUUAUUUUGCUGCUUGGCAUGUUGUUCAAUGGCUCUCCAGCAAUCAAUACCUAUCUGCUGGGAGUUAUUCAAGGCUUUGCCCCCUUUUGUUCUAUUUUUCCAUGCCUGGACCUUGAUGAGAUACAUGUUGUCCAAACUACACUACAUUGCUUAACCACAAGAAAGUAUUUUAUUCAUGAAGAGGCCUGUAUAAAAGCCAUGAAAUAAAAAUGUGAGUAAA